CAAAACAUAGCUUAUAUAGAAUAGCGUUUCACUUACGUUGAAAAGGAUUAUCGUGCAAAUCGGUUUGUUUUGA
RNAcentral lists this transfer RNA (73 nucleotides) under Lissocarcinus arkati. RNAcentral describes it as "tRNA-Val". It matches the Rfam family "tRNA". Rfam says of the family: Transfer RNA (tRNA) molecules are approximately 80 nucleotides in length. The record is from RNAcentral. Lineage: Eukaryota; Metazoa; Arthropoda; Malacostraca; Decapoda; Portunidae.